CAGCACGGGCCACGGGUCGCCAGCCGCCGC
RNAcentral lists this small RNA (30 nucleotides) under Bombyx mori (domestic silkworm). RNAcentral's name for it is "ovarian small RNA-13171". The record is from RNAcentral. Lineage: Eukaryota; Metazoa; Arthropoda; Insecta; Lepidoptera; Bombycidae.